GUGCAGCAGUCGAGAAACCUCUGCAAUGCGCGCAAGCGCGACAGGGCUACCCCGAGUGCCGCCCGCUGAGGGCGGCUUUUCUCCGGUGUAAUGAGUCGGAGGAAUAAGGGGAGGGCAAGCCUGGUGUCAGCCGCCGCGGUAAUACCAGCUCCCCGAGUGGUGGGGACGGUUAUUGGGCCUAAAGCGUCCGUAGCCGGUUCGGCAAGUCCUCCGUUAAAGCCAACGAUCCAAUCGUUGGAAUGCGGGGGAUACUGCCGGACUAGGGGGGCGGGAGAGGCCGACGGUACUCCUGGGGGUAGGGGUGAAAAUCCGUAUAAUCCCAGGAGGACCACCAGUGGCGAAGGCGGUCGGCCGAGAACGCGCCCGACGGUGAGGGACGAAAGCGUGGGGGAGCGAUCCGGAUUAGAUACCCCUGUAGU
RNAcentral lists this ribosomal RNA (419 nucleotides) under uncultured microorganism. Its description in RNAcentral is "bacterial SSU rRNA". It matches the Rfam family "Archaeal small subunit ribosomal RNA", at positions 330 to 745 of the family's 1478-position model. The record is from RNAcentral.